Molecule: small RNA, 28 nt
Filed under: Bombyx mori (domestic silkworm)
Lineage: Eukaryota; Metazoa; Arthropoda; Insecta; Lepidoptera; Bombycidae
Description: ovarian small RNA-28470
Source: RNAcentral
UCGAUGAGAAAGUGAAUGAAGUGUGACC